CUUAAAGGAAUUGACGGGGCCCGCACAAGCGGAGGAACAUGUGGUUUAAUUCGAUGAUACGCGAGGAACCUUACCUGGGCUUAAAUGUAGAUUGCAUGAGGUGGAAACACUUCUUCCCUUCGGGGCUAUUUACAAGGUGCUGCAUGGUUGUCGUCAGCUCGUGCCGUGAGGUGUCGGGUUAAGUCCCAUAACGAGCGCAACCCUUACCGUUAGUUGCCAUCGGGUCAAGCCGGGGACUCUAGCGGGACUGCCACCGUAAGGUGAGAGGAAGGUGGGGAUGACGUCAAAUCAGCACGGCCCUUAUGUCCAGGGCUACACACGUGUUACAAUGGCCGGUACAGAGGGCAGCUACCUGGUGACAGGAUGCUAAUCCCGAAAGCCGGUCCCAGUUCGGAUUGGAGUCUGCAACCCGACUCCAUGAAGUUGGAUUCGCUAGUAAUCGCGCAUCAGCCAUGGCGCGGUGAAUACGUUCCCGGGCCUU
This 481-nucleotide ribosomal RNA is filed under the name uncultured Sphingobacteriales bacterium. Its description in RNAcentral is "bacterial SSU rRNA". It matches the Rfam family "Bacterial small subunit ribosomal RNA", at positions 900 to 1382 of the family's 1533-position model. Lineage: Bacteria; Pseudomonadati; Bacteroidota; Sphingobacteriia; Sphingobacteriales. The record is from RNAcentral.